Long non-coding RNA from Canis lupus familiaris (dog), 1010 nucleotides. RefSeq lists it as uncharacterized. The record is from RefSeq and is a predicted model, not a curated record. NCBI's taxonomy places the organism in Eukaryota, Metazoa, Chordata, Mammalia, Carnivora, Canidae. The transcript has 3 exons.
AGCCAAGGCCACGAGCAACAGUCCUUGUGCCUCAUCUGCCUUGGCCCCUCGUGGCUGCCUUCCAAAAAGUGCUGGAGUAGCAGAAGCAGCUAGCCGCAUGCCUAAGAAGUGGUCAGCAGUUGGGAACAGCUGGAGAGAGGAGGGCCAGUGAGCAAAUAUCAGAAUUUAGGAAAUAAGCCUUUGGCUGAACAAAGUUCACUGUUGUUUUCCAAGAAAGCAGAGCCUGGCUGAACCACCCCCAGAGAACAGGGCAAGGAGUGAUAAACUGCAUGUUGGCUCUCAGCUUCCAAAGCGCCGUACGCUUGGCCACCCAACAGUGACCAGGGCUAGCGCUGCUUCUCUCGGGGCAGAAGAUCACAGAGUUUAAUGAGGAAGUGCUGACCACACAAAGGAGAGGAAGCCUUCAGCCCCGACCACUCCCCAGCCCUGCGUCCCCAUCACCAGUGAGUCACCGCGGAUCCACCCUGAAGCAUGUAGCGACGUCAAGAUUUCUAUGACACCCUCAAACGAAGGAGAACCAGGAAGCCGAGAAGAGGGUUGAGCGCCUGCAUGAUUCACAGUAUAGCCAUGCCUUCAUUUUGUGAUCACUGAAUCGUUUCUGGCUCUAACAGUCUGGUGAUGAACAGUAGAUGACACAACCAAAUGGUGUAAGUCCACUAGGAUGACAAAAUGAGCCAAAGCGUUUGCAGACCGGGUUGGCUGCCUGGGCAGCUGGGUGCACUCGAGCUUCAGUGCACUCUUAUUGUUGUUCAUCUCUCAUGACAGGACAUCAUCCUAUUCGGAGUUCCUAACCCCCUGUGUUAAUUCUUCUCUGCCACCUCUUCUGGUAUUCACUCCCCUGUAAGACGAGGAAAAGAAACGCCACCAAGGCAGCCCUGCUCGGGCACACAGUCCAGCACACGCAGGUUUGUGCUGGAUGUAAAAGCAAAACAAGAACUGUGGGGCGAUCUCCAGCCACUCAUUCAACCUUCACUGCAGUUUCUUCAUCAUUAAAAUGCAAUAUUUGAGGA